AAUAACAUUCUCUCUUUGAAUAGGAGUUUCUUAUCUGCCAAAAGUUCGUAACACCCAGCCCUUACUAGUCUCCACGUUCUCACUCUGCUUUUUAGUUGGCUCACUUUGAAGGGAUAGUAUUUUUGCUUUCCCCUUUUGAAAUUUAUGCACAUGUUGAUGUAUCCUUGAUUUUUGUCGAACUUUAGUCUCCUCUUCUACCUUAUCUAUUUCUGGAGCAUAAUAAUCCUCCUUGAAUUAUGAUGUCUGCACUUCUGGGUACUAUGCCUUUGCAUUUUUUACAGACAUCACAAUAAAAAGGAACAUAAUCAUAUCUGAUAUGUAUCUCCUCCAUCCUUACUUCCUAAUAACAUCAUUUUCUAUAUCCAUAGUAAUUGAUUUGGGGAAGUCGCCUUUUAAGUCCACCAAAACUUUUACGCUAUCACAACUUGGUCUAGUUUUAUUAAUCGUGGCUAAGUUAAGUUGCAUUGGUUUACCUACUGUUGAUGCUAAAGAAAACAAACAUUAUUUAACAAAGUAAGUAGGUAAAAGGCUGGGAAAGAAUAU
Molecule: long non-coding RNA, 543 nt
Filed under: Solanum tuberosum (potato)
Lineage: Eukaryota; Viridiplantae; Streptophyta; Magnoliopsida; Solanales; Solanaceae
Description: long non-coding RNA (STUB_LNC005886)
Source: RNAcentral